GCGGGCGUAGCUCAGUUGGUGGAGCGCAACCUUGCCAAGGUUGAGGUCGCGAGUUCGAGACUCGUCGCCCGCUCCA
RNAcentral lists this transfer RNA (76 nucleotides) under Bacillota bacterium. RNAcentral's name for it is "Firmicutes bacterium (anaerobic digester metagenome) tRNA-Gly". It matches the Rfam family "tRNA". Rfam says of the family: Transfer RNA (tRNA) molecules are approximately 80 nucleotides in length. Lineage: Bacteria; Bacillati; Bacillota. The record is from RNAcentral.